This 305-nucleotide ribosomal RNA is filed under the name uncultured bacterium. Its description in RNAcentral is "bacterial SSU rRNA". It matches the Rfam family "Bacterial small subunit ribosomal RNA", at positions 334 to 653 of the family's 1533-position model. The record is from RNAcentral.
UUUUCCUACGGGGCGCAGCAGUGGGGGAUAUUGGACAAUGGGGGAAACCCUGAUCCAGCGACGCCGCGUGAGUGAAGAAGUAUUUCGGUAUGUAAAGCUCUGUCAGCAGGGAAGAAAGAAAUGACGGUACCUGACCAAGAAGCCCCGGCUAACUACGUGCCAGCAGCCGCGGUAAUACGUAGGGGGCAAGCGUUAUCCGGAAUUACUGGGUGUAAAGGGAGCGUAGACGGUGAUGCAAGUCUGGAGUGAAAGGCGGGGGCUCAACCCCGGGACUGCAUUGGAAACUGGCAUGCUGGAGUGCCGGG